UAAGUACAAGUUGACUUCUGAAGACAUGGCUAUGGAGAGGAGCCAUUCUGACAAACUAGAGAAAGCACCUGGAAACUUAACAGAAUACAACCGGAAUCUCUCCAGAAACUCACUAAGCAGCAGUCACCAAGUUGCAGAUGCUGCUAUGAUUCCAUGCUGACCUCCCUGGGCGGAAGACCUCACCAAAGUGUCCCAGAACUUCCCCUCCCCAGAGCCCUGCCCCACUAGGGAAAGACAGACACAGGCUGUGGGGGGUGUGGGUCCACGUGCCAACAUCCAUGUUCAGCAGAGAAGCCAUGACAGAAGCCAGAACUCCCACCUUCGGCUCCCCAUAAGGAAUUCUGGUCCAGACUCCCAGAGAGGGAGAAAUGUCAGGGGAAGAUGCCCAGAGGGCUCUCAGCUCUAAUUUCAUCAGGACCCAGAGAGAAAGAGAGGGGAAAAGGGAAACAGCCAGAGGUGGUAACAGGUCUAGGUGUGACUUAGAAAGAACGAGAAAUCAGGACCAUAGGAUAAAUGGGCAAAUAUAUACAAGUACAGAUAGUUACAGAAAUAAUAGUUAACCCCUAUCCGUGACCUUGGGAGAACCACUGCCGUUUCCAAUGGGGGAGAGUGGGGACACAGAACUCUGGGGGCGGGAACAGUGUGGGAUUAGACUCCUGUUAUCUUAUCAUUUAUAAAUCAAUAUUAAAUCAUUAACAAAAUGUAAAUAGAUAAAUGUUGGUCUGCUGAGGCCUCAUGCAUUUUAACUUUAUUUUGGACCGAGACAGAGAGAAGUUGAAGGUGAAGAAGGAAAGAGGCACACCUCCAGCCCUGCUUCACCUUCUUGUGAAGUUGCCCCGACCUCUCCCACAGCAGGGAGUGGCUGGUGGAAACAGCGCAGCUGGUAGAAGGCGGGAUCUACGUGCCUGAGGCUCCAGGUUCGAUCCCUAGUGCUGCAUGUGCCGCCGUGGUGUUCUGCUUCCUGCGACACUCUAUCCUAUAUGAAACAAAUAAAAUCAAUCUUGAGGAAAUUAAAAAAA
Erinaceus europaeus (western European hedgehog) is the source of this 1019-nucleotide long non-coding RNA. RefSeq lists it as uncharacterized. The record is from RefSeq and is a predicted model, not a curated record. Lineage: Eukaryota; Metazoa; Chordata; Mammalia; Eulipotyphla; Erinaceidae. The transcript is spliced from 2 exons.